AGGACAAACGCUGGCGGCGUGCAUAAAACAUGCAAGUCGGACGAGCCAAUCCCCGCAAGGGGAAAGGCUAGUGGCGAACGGCUGAGUAACACGUAGGUGAUCUGCCCUGAAGUGGGGGAUAACGACUCGAAAGAGUCGCUAAUACCGCAUGUGACCACCGAUCCGUUUUCGGUGCUCAAAGUCGUAAGACGCUUUAGGAGGAGCCUGCGGCGGAUUAGCUAGUUGGUGAGGUAAUGGCCCACCAAGGCUUCGAUCCGU
This 258-nucleotide ribosomal RNA is filed under the name uncultured soil bacterium. RNAcentral's name for it is "partial 16S ribosomal RNA". It matches the Rfam family "Bacterial small subunit ribosomal RNA", at positions 26 to 284 of the family's 1533-position model. The record is from RNAcentral.